RNAcentral lists this ribosomal RNA (552 nucleotides) under Porostereum spadiceum. Its description in RNAcentral is "eukaryotic LSU rRNA". The stretch from base 160 to 313 matches the Rfam family "5.8S ribosomal RNA". The record is from RNAcentral. Lineage: Eukaryota; Fungi; Basidiomycota; Agaricomycetes; Polyporales; Phanerochaetaceae.
AUCCACUCUCAACUUCUGUGCACUAUCGCAUGUAGGGUUGGCUUUGUGAUGGUGGCUGGCUUCGCGGCUGGCCGUCGUUGUAUCGCCGCCUUAUGUGUUUCCUACUACAAACGAUUCAGUUAUGGAAUGUCUUUGUAUGCGGAUAACGCAACUAUAUACAACUUUCAGCAACGGAUCUCUUGGCUCUCGCAUCGAUGAAGAACGCAGCGAAAUGCGAUAAGUAAUGUGAAUUGCAGAAUUCAGUGAAUCAUCGAAUCUUUGAACGCACCUUGCGCUCCUUGGUAUUCCGAGGAGCAUGCCUGUUUGAGUCUCGUGGAAUCCUCAACCUCGCAGUUUUGUUACUGCAAGGCUUGGACUUGGAGGUCGUGUCGGCUCUCGUCAGUCGACUCCUCUGAAAUGCAUUAGUGCGGACGUUACCGGUCGCUUCAGCGUGAUAAUUAUCUGCGCUGCCGUCGUACUGGCAUGUCAAGUACGUGCUUCUAACCGUCCUUCGCGGGACAAUCACAUCGAAACUCUGAGCUCAAAUCAGGUAGGACUACCCGCUGAACUUAA